This 253-nucleotide ribosomal RNA is filed under the name uncultured bacterium. Its description in RNAcentral is "partial 16S ribosomal RNA". It matches the Rfam family "Bacterial small subunit ribosomal RNA", at positions 524 to 776 of the family's 1533-position model. The record is from RNAcentral.
UACGUAGGGUGCGAGCGUUGUCCGGAAUUACUGGGCGUAAAGAGCUUGUAGGUGGUUUGUCGCGUUGUUCGUGAAAUCUCACGGCUUAACUGUGAGCGUGCGGGCGAUACGGGCAGACUAGAGUACUGCAGGGGAGACUGGAAUUCCUGGUGUAGCGGUGGAAUGCGCAGAUAUCAGGAGGAACACCGGUGGCGAAGGCGGGUCUCUGGGCAGAAACUGACGCUGAGAAGCGAAAGCGUGGGGAGCGAACAGG